UACUACGGGUGCAAGCGUUAAUCGGCAUUACUGGGCGUAAAGCGUGCGCAGGCGGUUAUAUAAGACAGAUGUGAAAUCCCCGGGCUCAACCUGGGAACUGCAUUUGUGACUGUAUAGCUAGAGUACGGCAGAGGGGGAUGGAAUUCCGCGUGUAGCAGUGAAAUGCGUAGAUAUGCGGAGGAACACCGAUGGCGAAGGCAAUCCCAUGGGCCUGUACGGAAGCUCAUGCAAGCCCGCGUGGGGAGCCCACAGGAUUAGAUACCAGCGUAGUCC
This 273-nucleotide ribosomal RNA is filed under the name uncultured bacterium. RNAcentral's name for it is "partial 16S ribosomal RNA". It matches the Rfam family "Bacterial small subunit ribosomal RNA", at positions 524 to 796 of the family's 1533-position model. The record is from RNAcentral.